Molecule: unclassified non-coding RNA, 336 nt
Filed under: soil metagenome
Description: partial contains 5.8S ribosomal RNA, internal transcribed spacer 2, and large subunit ribosomal RNA
Rfam family: 5.8S ribosomal RNA (bases 1-120)
Source: RNAcentral
GAUGAAGAACGUAGCGAAAUGCGAUAAGUAGUGUGAAUUGCAGAAUUCAGUGAAUCAUCGAAUCUUUGAACGCACAUUGCGCCCCUUGGUAUCCCAUGGGGCAUGCCUGUUCGAGCGUCAUUUGUACCUUCAAGCUUUGCUUGGUGUUGGGUGUUUGUCUCGCCUUUGCGUGUAGACUCGCCUUAAAAUAAUUGGCAGCCGGCGUAUUGAUUUCGGAGCGCAGUACAUCUCGCGCUUUGCACUCAUAACGACAGCGUCCAAAAGUACAUUUUACACUCUUGACCUCGGAUCAGGUAGGGAUACCCGCUGAACUUAAGCAUAUCAAUAAGCGGAGGU